This 317-nucleotide long non-coding RNA is filed under the name Sorghum bicolor (sorghum). RNAcentral's name for it is "long non-coding RNA (SBIC_LNC014236)". Lineage: Eukaryota; Viridiplantae; Streptophyta; Magnoliopsida; Poales; Poaceae. The record is from RNAcentral.
AUUGGACAGUCUACAUAGUCAGGGAACAUCGAAAGAGAAUUUAUCUUAAAUUGAGAAAUAAAUAGAUAAUGGUGAUUUAUUAUGUAUGAAUGACAUAUGUAUGACAUCAGCAUAAUAUUUAAUUACUAAAAUAAUGCUCAUCUUUAAUUUACCAUGCAUGCGUGACGCUCAUUAGUUACUGGUGGCGAUGGAAGACUGCUAUUGCACGACUUGCAUCUACUGAACAUGAUUACAGUGUCCAAAAAAAAAACUUGUAUAGAGCAGCGCUUGAUUUGUAGAAAAAGAUGGUCUACACGUAAUAAGACUCCUGACUCCAU